Molecule: long non-coding RNA, 496 nt
Organism: Gorilla gorilla gorilla (western lowland gorilla)
Lineage: Eukaryota; Metazoa; Chordata; Mammalia; Primates; Hominidae
Exons: 3
Source: RefSeq, a predicted model, not a curated record
GGGUGGGCUGGGGGACAGGCGCGCCCGCGCCGCCCGCUCCAGCUGGGCUAGUGCUGUACAUUCCGGCCAGCCCCUCCUCAAGACCCCAUUCCCAAGCCCCUUCUCGGCUCCCUCGGGCCGGCAGAGCGGCUCUGAUCAGUAAAAUGCUGUUGAAGGCCCAUGGGCAUGACUGCACCCCUCACUAAUUGGUCACUGGUUUGGGGAGGACACCACUGUCCCAGUGGAACCUUGAGCACACCUUGGAGCCCUCCUCUUCCUCUCCGGACCUGCGCCAAACUGCCAUCCUGCAGCCACCAGAACCUUCCACAUGAAAUGAAAGGCUCACCACUUCAUAGGCUUUAAGGAAAUUCUUGGCCAGGUGUGGUGCCUCACUCCUGUAAUCCCAGUGCUUUAAGAGGCCAAGAUGGGAGGAUUGUUUGAGCCAGGUGUUUGAGACCAGCCUGGGCAACGUUGUAAGACCCCAUCUCUACAAAAAAAAUAAAAAAAUAAAAAAUUG